RNAcentral lists this ribosomal RNA (482 nucleotides) under uncultured bacterium. RNAcentral describes it as "partial 16S ribosomal RNA". It matches the Rfam family "Bacterial small subunit ribosomal RNA", at positions 30 to 507 of the family's 1533-position model. The record is from RNAcentral.
AUUGAACGCUGGCGGCAUGCCUUACACAUGCAAGUCGAACGGUAACGGGCCUUCGGGUGCCGACGAGUGGCGAACGGGUGAGUAAUACAUCGGAACGUGCCCGAUCGUGGGGGAUAACGAGGCGAAAGCUUUGCUAAUACCGCAUACGAUCUACGGAUGAAAGCAGGGGACCGCAAGGCCUUGCGCGGACGGAGCGGCUGAUGGCAGAUUAGGUAGUUGGUGGGAUAAAAGCUUACCAAGCCGACGAUCUGUAGCUGGUCUGAGAGGAUGAUCAGCCACACUGGGACUGAGACACGGCCCAGACUCCUACGGGAGGCAGCAGUGGGGAAUUUUGGACAAUGGGCGCAAGCCUGAUCCAGCCAUGCCGCGUGCAGGAUGAAGGCCUUCGGGUUGUAAACUGCUUUUGUACGGAACGAAAAGCCUUCUUUUAAUACAGGAGGGUCAUGACGGUACCGUAAGAAUAAGCACCGGCUAACUACGUG